CACACCAUGAGAGCCGGUAACACCCGAAGCCCGUGAGGUAACCGGGGUAAGGAGCCAGCGGUCGAAGGUGGGAUUGGUGAUUGGGGUGAAGUCGUAACAAGGUAGCCGUAGGAGAACCUGCGGCUGGAUCACCUCCUUUCUAGGGAGA
This 148-nucleotide ribosomal RNA is filed under the name Clostridium haemolyticum. Its description in RNAcentral is "partial 16S ribosomal RNA". It matches the Rfam family "Bacterial small subunit ribosomal RNA", at positions 1398 to 1533 of the family's 1533-position model. The record is from RNAcentral. Lineage: Bacteria; Bacillati; Bacillota; Clostridia; Eubacteriales; Clostridiaceae.